GCGUCUAUCGUCUAAUGGAUAGGACAGAAGUCUUCUAAACUUCCAAUAUAGGUUCAAAUCCUAUUAGACGCA
Molecule: transfer RNA, 72 nt
Filed under: Cylindrocystis brebissonii
Lineage: Eukaryota; Viridiplantae; Streptophyta; Zygnematophyceae; Zygnematales; Mesotaeniaceae
Description: tRNA-Arg
Rfam family: tRNA
About the family: Transfer RNA (tRNA) molecules are approximately 80 nucleotides in length. Their secondary structure includes four short double-helical elements and three loops (D, anti-codon, and T loops).
Source: RNAcentral